This is a non-coding RNA of Sorex araneus (European shrew), 72 nucleotides long. The record is from the annotation of a RefSeq genome assembly. NCBI's taxonomy places the organism in Eukaryota, Metazoa, Chordata, Mammalia, Eulipotyphla, Soricidae.
GGGGGUAUAGUUCAGUGAUAGAGCACGUGCUUAGCAUGCACGAGGCCCUGGGUUCGAUCUCCAGCACCUCCA